This 256-nucleotide ribosomal RNA is filed under the name uncultured bacterium. RNAcentral's name for it is "partial 16S ribosomal RNA". It matches the Rfam family "Bacterial small subunit ribosomal RNA", at positions 524 to 777 of the family's 1533-position model. The record is from RNAcentral.
UACGUAGGUGGCAAGCGUUGUCCGGAUUUACUGGGCGUAAAGGGAGCGUAGGUGGAUAUUUAAGUGGGAUGUGAAAUCCCCGGGCUUAACCUGGGGGCUGCAUUCCAAACUGGAUGUCUAGAGUGCAGGAGAGGAGAGUGGAAUUCCUAGUGUAGCGGUGAAAUGCGUAGAGAUUAGGAAGAACACCAGUGGCGAAGGCGACUCUCGUGGAACUGUAACUGACACUGAGGCUCGAAAGCGUGGGGAGCAAACAGGG